Molecule: transfer-messenger RNA, 355 nt
Filed under: Syntrophomonadaceae bacterium
Lineage: Bacteria; Bacillati; Bacillota; Clostridia; Eubacteriales; Syntrophomonadaceae
Rfam family: transfer-messenger RNA
About the family: Bacterial tmRNA, also known as 10Sa RNA or SsrA, is named for its dual tRNA and mRNA-like properties.
Source: RNAcentral
GGGGGCGUACCGGUUUCGACGGGGGAAGGGAUGGGUCGAGCAGCGAGCCGAGUUUUCGUCAACUCGUUAAACAGGCGAGACUUUCAAAUUAACUGCAGAAGAUAAUUUUGCUUUAGCAGCCUAACGGCUGCUCGUCCGGCCGGGAGCGCUUACGACCCGGUGCAGGGCGUCACACAGUAAGCUUACCCGCUUCGGCUCCGCCCCGAGGCCGACCGGCGGGGAAAUCAAUCGGAGCUAGCCCUGCCGCAGUCCGUCUGCGGACGGCAGCAUGGCGAAACCAAAACGCAGACUGCGCUCGGAGAUACUGGACUGGUCUCUCUUUCGGACGCGGGUUCGAUUCCCGCCGCCUCCACCA